This 440-nucleotide ribosomal RNA is filed under the name uncultured bacterium. Its description in RNAcentral is "bacterial SSU rRNA". It matches the Rfam family "Bacterial small subunit ribosomal RNA", at positions 91 to 518 of the family's 1533-position model. The record is from RNAcentral.
UAGAGCGGCGGACGGGUGAGUAACACGUGGACAAUCUGCCCCCCGGCCCGGGAUAGCCCAGGGAAACCUGGAUUAAUACCGGAUGAGACGGGACCCGCGAAGGCGGGACCCGGGAAAGGCGCUGCGGCGCCGCCGGGGGAUGAGUCUGCGUCCCAUUAGCUAGACGGCGGGGUAACGGCCCACCGUGGCGACGAUGGGUAGCCGGCCUGAGAGGGUGGACGGCCACAUUGGAACUGAGACACGGUCCAGACUCCUACGGGAGGCAGCAGCUAAGAAUCUUCCGCAAUGGGCGAAAGCCUGACGGAGCGACGCCGCGUGAACGAAGAAGGCCGUGAGGUUGUAAAGUUCUUUUCGGGAGAGGGAACAACCGUGGCAGGGAAUGGCCGCGGGAUGACGUGAAUCCCGGAAUAAGCCCCGGCUAACUACGUGCCAGCAGCAGC